CCUACGGGGGGCAGCAGUGAGGAAUAUUGGUCAAUGGACGAGAGUCUGAACCAGCCAAGUAGCGUGAAGGAUGAAUGCCCUAUGGGUUGUAAACUUCUUUUAUAAAGGAAUAAAACGAGGCACGUGUGCCUUUUUGCAUGUACUUUAUGAAUAAGGAUCGGCUAACUCCGUGCCAGCAGCCGCGGUAAUACGGAGGAUCCGAGCGUUAUCCGGAUUUAUUGGGUUUAAAGGGAGCGUAGAUGGGUUGUUAAGUCAGUUGUGAAAGUGUGCGGCUCAACCGUAAAACUGCAAUUGAUACUGGCAGUCUUGAGUACAGUUGAGGUAGGCGGAAUUCGUGGUGUAGCGGUGAAAUGCGUAGAUAUCAGGAAGAACCCCGAUGGCGAAGGCAGCUUACUAAACUGUGACUGACACUGAGGCUCGAAAGUGUGGGGAGCAAACAGGAUUAGAUACCCUUGUAGUC
This 460-nucleotide ribosomal RNA is filed under the name uncultured bacterium. Its description in RNAcentral is "partial 16S ribosomal RNA". It matches the Rfam family "Bacterial small subunit ribosomal RNA", at positions 338 to 795 of the family's 1533-position model. The record is from RNAcentral.